GUACUACUGAAGAGUCCCAAGCUAGGAGGAAACGGCUGUCCAGUAC
Molecule: non-coding RNA, 46 nt
Filed under: Trichobilharzia regenti
Lineage: Eukaryota; Metazoa; Platyhelminthes; Trematoda; Strigeidida; Schistosomatidae
Source: RNAcentral